AACGAACGCUGGCGGCACGCCUAACACAUGCAAGUCGAGCGCACCUUCGGGUGAGCGGCGGACGGGUUAGUAACGCGUGGGAACAUACCCUUUUCUACGGAAUAGCCUCGGGAAACUGAGAGUAAUACCGUAUACGCCCUUCGGGGGAAAGAUUUAUCGGUGAAGGAUUGGCCCACGUUAGAUUAGAUAGUUGGUGGGGUAAUGGCCUACCAAGUCGACGAUCUAUAGCUGGUUUGAGAGGAUGAUCAGCAACACUGGGACUGAGACACGGCCCAGACUCCUACGGGAGGCAGCAGUGGGGAAUCUUAGACAAUGGGCGAAAGCCUGAUCUAGCGAUGCCGCGUGUGUGAUGAAGGUCUUAGGAUCGUAAAGCACUUUCGCCAGGGAUGAUAAUGACAGUACCUGGUAAAGAAACCCCGGCUAACUCCGUGCCAGCAGCCGCGGUAAUACGGAGGGGGUUAGCGUUGUUCGGAAUUACCGGGCCGUAAAGCGCGCGUAGGCGGAUUAGUCAGUCAGAGGUGAAAUCCCAGGGCUCAACCCUGGAACUGCCUUUGAUACUGCUAGUCUUGAGUUCGAGAGAGGUGAGUGGAAUUCCGAGUGUAGAGGUGAAAUUCGUAGAUAUUCGGAGGAACACCAGUGGCGAAGGCGGCUCACUGGCUCGAUACUGACGCUGAGGUGCGAAAGCGU
This 687-nucleotide ribosomal RNA is filed under the name uncultured Pseudomonadota bacterium. Its description in RNAcentral is "bacterial SSU rRNA". It matches the Rfam family "Bacterial small subunit ribosomal RNA", at positions 28 to 762 of the family's 1533-position model. The record is from RNAcentral. Lineage: Bacteria; Pseudomonadati; Pseudomonadota.